AGAGUUUGAUCCUGGCUCAGGAUGAACGCUAGCUACAGGCUUAACACAUGCAAGUCGAGGGGCAUCAGGAAGAAAGCUUGCUUUCUUUGCUGGCGACCGGCGCACGGGUGAGUAACACGUAUCCAACCUGCCCUUUACUCGGGGAUAGCCUUUCGAAAGAAAGAUUAAUACCCGAUGGCAUAAUGAUUCCGCAUGGUUUCAUUAUUAAAGGAUUCCGGUAAAGGAUGGGGAUGCGUUCCAUUAGGUUGUUGGUGAGGUAACGGCUCACCAAGCCUUCGAUGGAUAGGGGUUCUGAGAGGAAGGUCCCCCACAUUGGAACUGAGACACGGUCCAAACUCCUACGGGAGGCAGCAGUGAGGAAUAUUGGUCAAUGGGCGGUAGCCUGAACCAGCCAAGUAGCGUGAAGGAUGAAGGCUCUAUGGGUCGUAAACUUCUUUUAUAUAAGAAUAAAGUGCAGUAUGUAUACUGUUUUGUAUGUAUUAUAUGAAUAAGGAUCGGCUAACUCCGUGCCAGCAGCCGCGGUAAUACGGAGGAUCCGAGCGUUAUCCGGAUUUAUUGGGUUUAAAGGGAGCGUAGGUGGACUGGUAAGUCAGUUGUGAAAGUUUGCGGCUCAACCGUAAAAUUGCAGUUGAUACUGUCAGUCUUGAGUACAGUAGAGGUGGGCGGAAUUCGUGGUGUAGCGGUGAAAUGCUUAGAUAUCACGAAGAACUCCGAUUGCGAAGGCAGCUCACUGGACUGCAACUGACACUGAUGCUCGAAAGUGUGGGUAUCAAACAGGAUUAGAUACCCUGGUAGUCCACACAGUAAACGAUGAAUACUCGCUGUUUGCGAUAUACAGUAAGCGGCCAAGCGAAAGCAUUAAGUAUUCCACCUGGGGAGUACGCCGGCAACGGUGAAACUCAAAGGAAUUGACGGGGGCCCGCACAAGCGGAGGAACAUGUGGUUUAAUUCGAUGAUACGCGAGGAACCUUACCCGGGCUUAAAUUGCAGUGGAAUGAUGUGGAAACAUGUCAGUGAGCAAUCACCGCUGUGAAGGUGCUGCAUGGUUGUCGUCAGCUCGUGCCGUGAGGUGUCGGCUUAAGUGCCAUAACGAGCGCAACCCUUAUCUUCAGUUACUAACAGGUCAUGCUGAGGACUCUGGAGAGACUGCCGUCGUAAGAUGUGAGGAAGGUGGGGAUGACGUCAAAUCAGCACGGCCCUUACGUCCGGGGCUACACACGUGUUACAAUGGGGGGUACAGAAGGCAGCUAGCGGGUGACCGUAUGCUAAUCCCAAAAUCCUCUCUCAGUUCGGAUCGAAGUCUGCAACCCGACUUCGUGAAGCUGGAUUCGCUAGUAAUCGCGCAUCAGCCACGGCGCGGUGAAUACGUUCCCGGGCCUUGUACACACCGCCCGUCAAGCCAUGGGAGCCGGGGGUACCUGAAGUACGUAACCGCAAGGAUCGUCCUAGGGUAAAACUGGUGACUGGGGCUAAGUCGUAACAAGGUAGCCGUACCGGAAGGUGCGGCUG
RNAcentral lists this ribosomal RNA (1509 nucleotides) under Bacteroides fragilis. RNAcentral describes it as "bacterial SSU rRNA". It matches the Rfam family "Bacterial small subunit ribosomal RNA". The record is from RNAcentral. RNAcentral also lists the same sequence under 1 other name. Lineage: Bacteria; Pseudomonadati; Bacteroidota; Bacteroidia; Bacteroidales; Bacteroidaceae.